GAUGAACGCUGGCGGCGUGCCUAAUACAUGCAAGUCGAGCGAACGGACGAGAAGCUUGCUUCUCUGAUGUUGGCGGCGGACGGGUGAGUAACACGUGGAUAACCUACCUAUAAGACUGGGAUAACUUCGGGAAACCGGAGCUAAUACCGGAUAAUAUUUUGAACCGCAUGGUUCAAAAGUGAAAGACGGUCUUGCUGUCACUUAUAGAUGGAUCCGCGCUGCAUUAGCUAGUUGGUAAGGUAACGGCUUACCAAGGCAACGAUGCAUAGCCGACCUGAGAGGGUGAUCGGCCACACUGGAACUGAGACACGGUCCAGACUCCUACGGGAGGCAGCAGUAGGGAAUCUUCCGCAAUGGGCGAAAGCCUGACGGAGCAACGCCGCGCGAGUGAUGAAGGUCUUCGGAUCGUAAAACUCUGUUAUUAGGGAAGAACAUAUGUGUAAGUAACUGUGCACAUCUUGACGGUACCUAAUCAGAAAGCCACGGCUAACUACGUG
This 497-nucleotide ribosomal RNA is filed under the name uncultured bacterium. RNAcentral describes it as "partial 16S ribosomal RNA". It matches the Rfam family "Bacterial small subunit ribosomal RNA", at positions 28 to 507 of the family's 1533-position model. The record is from RNAcentral.